GACGAACCGAGCGAACGUUGUUCGGAAUCACUGGGCUUAAAGGGCGCGUAGGCGGGCCUGAAAGUCAAGGGUGAAAGCCCCCGGCUCAACCGGGGAACGGCCGCGGGGACUGGGGGCCUCGAGUGGGGUAGGGGCGCGCGGAACGCCGGGUGGAGCGGUGAAAUGCGUUGAUAUCCGGCGGAACUCCGGUGGCGAAAGCGGCGCGCUGGGCCCCCCCUGACGCUGAGGCGCGAAAGCCAGGGGAGCAAACGGG
Molecule: ribosomal RNA, 253 nt
Filed under: uncultured bacterium
Lineage: Bacteria
Description: partial 16S ribosomal RNA
Rfam family: Bacterial small subunit ribosomal RNA
Source: RNAcentral